RNAcentral lists this long non-coding RNA (209 nucleotides) under Elaeis guineensis (African oil palm). RNAcentral describes it as "long non-coding RNA (EGUI_LNC079480)". Lineage: Eukaryota; Viridiplantae; Streptophyta; Magnoliopsida; Arecales; Arecaceae. The record is from RNAcentral.
UUAGCAUUAGCUUCUGAUCAAGGCUUCAAAUGUAAUAAUGGAUUGUAUUAAGUAUGGGUAUAGUGUUUGACUCUACUCAUAGCUGUACUAACUAUAAUCUUGCUCACUGUAGUGCGCCUUGUUUUGUCAUCGUUAAUUUUAUAUAUUUUAUUUUGCUUAAUUGUGUCCUAGCACACUUUAUUAUUUAUUGUAAUCAUCUAUGAACCACC